RNAcentral lists this ribosomal RNA (984 nucleotides) under Triticum aestivum (bread wheat). RNAcentral describes it as "partial small subunit ribosomal RNA". Lineage: Eukaryota; Viridiplantae; Streptophyta; Magnoliopsida; Poales; Poaceae. The record is from RNAcentral.
AUGGGACAACGCAAGCUCCGUCGUUCCGGGGCCGCCGCCUCCGCAUCUUACUUCCGGAUCGAGAAAGAUCGCCGCCAUUGUUUCUCAAAGAAGAAAAAGAAAAAUCGCCAUCAUCAUCACCACGAAGUAGCCAGCAGCGGCCCAACGGCGUCUCUCUGUGACGACGCCCUCGCCGACAUCUUCACCCGGCUGCCGGGCGCGGCGGCGGUGGUCCGCUGCGCCGCCACGUGCCGGCGCUGGGGCCGCCUCGUGGCCACGAGGGCAGCCGUCAUCUCCCGUUGCCUGCCGCCCCUCGGCUGCUCCUUCCCGGACCUUGCCGUCGGCCUCUUCCACCAGGAGAAAGAUUGGCCCACCACGCGCGGCAGGGACGCUGCGUCAUCGCCAGGGCCGUGUUUUGUCCCGACAGCCUCCGGCUCUCGCUUCCUCUAUGAGGGCCGGGAGUCUUUAGGUGUCGCCAGACUAGAUGACGGCGACAGGCUCCUCGACCACUCCCGUCCCGUUGCGUCCCGGAACGGCCGCCUUGUUUUGGAGCUCCGGCGCCACCGGCGCCAGGAUCGCGCUGCCGACGGCCUCCGGCUUGCCAUUUGUAACCCAAUGACGUCUGACAACAUCGUAGUCGUCCCGCCUUUGUUCUUAGCAGGGAAGAACAACACAAAGAUACUGGAAUACGGACUCACCAGCCACAAUCUCUGUCCGCCGGGCUGCCACGACUUCUUCCGUAUUCUGCUCAUCUACAACCACCACCGCAGCGGUGGGCUGUCCACGGUGCUCCGGUGCUACUCCUCGGACACUGGUCGCUGGGGACCGGAGACUGAAUCCAUUGUCAAGAUACCUAGUUCCAAGAUCCGCAACAUCAGCCCCGCAGUGGUACACCGCGGGGUGGCGUACUGGGCUCUCGAGCAGGGCGUGUUCGGGGUGCGCCUGGAUCGGAUUGAUCAUGACCAUACAAUGGACAUGCACCUUGUGCCGUGUGACACCUCCUGA